This 787-nucleotide ribosomal RNA is filed under the name uncultured bacterium. RNAcentral describes it as "bacterial SSU rRNA". It matches the Rfam family "Bacterial small subunit ribosomal RNA", at positions 8 to 796 of the family's 1533-position model. The record is from RNAcentral.
AGAGUUUGAUCCUGGCUCAGGAUGAACGCUAGCGGCAGGCUUAACACAUGCAAGUCGAGGGGUAUAGGUUUUCGGACCUAGAGACCGGCGCACGGGUGCGUAACGCGUAUGUAAUCUACCUUUUACAGAGGGAUAGCCCAGAGAAAUUUGGAUUAAUACCUCAUAGCAUUAUGAACCGGCAUCGGUUUAUAAUUAAAGUCACAACGGUAAAAGAUGAGCAUGCGUCCCAUUAGCUUGUUGGUAAGGUAACGGCUUACCAAGGCAACGAUGGGUAGGGGUCCUGAGAGGGAGAUCCCCCACACUGGUACUGAGACACGGACCAGACUCCUACGGGAGGCAGCAGUGAGGAAUAUUGGUCAAUGGGCGCAAGCCUGAACCAGCCAUGCCGCGUGCAGGAUGACGGUCCUAUGGAUUGUAAACUGCUUUUGCACAGGAAGAAACAGUUCUACGUGUAGAACCUUGACGGUACUGUAAGAAUAAGGAUCGGCUAACUCCGUGCCAGCAGCCGCGGUAAUACGGAGGAUCCAAGCGUUAUCCGGAAUCAUUGGGUUUAAAGGGUCUGUAGGCGGUUUUGUAAGUCAGUGGUGAAAGCCCGUCGCUCAACGGCGGAACGGCCAUUGAUACUGCAAGACUUGAAUUAUUGGGAAGCAACUAGAAUAUGUAGUGUAGCGGUGAAAUGCUUAGAGAUUACAUGGAAUACCAAUUGCGAAGGCAGGUUGCUACCAAUACAUUGACGCUGAUGGACGAAAGCGUGGGGAGCGAACAGGAUUAGAUACCCUAGUAGUCC